AGAGUUUGAUCCUGGCUCAGGACGAACGCUGGCGGCGUGCCUAAUACAUGCAAGUCGAGCGGGUUUCACCCUUCGGGGUGGAGCUAGCGGCGGACGGGUGAGUAAUACGUAGGCAACCUGCCUGUAAGCCUGGGAUAACUACCGGAAACGGUAGCUAAGACCGGAUACGUCACCAUGGGGCAUCCCGAGGUGUGGAAAGA
RNAcentral lists this ribosomal RNA (200 nucleotides) under uncultured bacterium. Its description in RNAcentral is "partial 16S ribosomal RNA". It matches the Rfam family "Bacterial small subunit ribosomal RNA", at positions 8 to 208 of the family's 1533-position model. The record is from RNAcentral.